This 211-nucleotide long non-coding RNA is filed under the name Sorghum bicolor (sorghum). RNAcentral describes it as "long non-coding RNA (SBIC_LNC014456)". Lineage: Eukaryota; Viridiplantae; Streptophyta; Magnoliopsida; Poales; Poaceae. The record is from RNAcentral.
GAUUUAGGUCAGCGUUGGAAGGGAAACCACUUUGCCGACAUAAAUUGAUGGUUUACCAAGGACAAGCUUAGUGUCCUAAAAUAAGCACUGAUCAGAUCGUAACAUGAGUUUUUAAUUAUUUGCAACAUUACCUUGUGUAUUGAGCAUAUAAGGAUAAUUGUAAAAAUAUUCCUUCGGGUAUUCUUGUCACUAACCUUCACAGGAUUGGAGC